UUUAAAGCCCUUUGAGGGUAGAAAGUGCUGCUCCAUUCCAUUACAAUCUAACGUUAUCCUACUGCUAAUUAUUAAGUAGCUGCAUGCUAACACCAGAUAGCUGUAAUCUUGGCAGCCAAUUUUAAUGCUGCACAUUACUGCCAGAACGUGUCUGGUUGAGUAGUAUUUGGUUCAGAAGCCUUUAGUGGUGAUUUUUCACAGUACAAAGCCCUGCUAUAUACUCCAGAGACAGCGAGCGC
Molecule: long non-coding RNA, 239 nt
Organism: Etheostoma spectabile (orangethroat darter)
Lineage: Eukaryota; Metazoa; Chordata; Actinopteri; Perciformes; Percidae
Exons: 3
Source: RefSeq, a predicted model, not a curated record